UCCUCCGCUUAUUGAUAUGCUUAAGUUCAGCGGGUAUCCCUACCUGAUCCGAGGUCAAAAGUUGAAAAAAAGGCUUAAUGGAUGCUAGACCUUUGCUGAUAGAGAGUGCGACUUGUGCUGCGCUCCGAAACCAGUAGGCCGGCUGCCAAUUACUUUAAGGCGAGUCUCCAGCAAAGCUAGAGACAAGACGCCCAACACCAAGCAAAGCUUGAGGGUACAAAUGACGCUCGAACAGGCAUGCCCUUUGGAAUACCAAAGGGCGCAAUGUGCGUUCAAAGAUUCGAUGAUUCACUGAAUUCUGCAAUUCACACUACUUAUCGCAUUUCGCUGCGUUCUUCAUCGAUGCCAGAACCAAGAGAUCCGUUGUUGAAAGUUGUAAUUAUUAAUUUUUUUUACUGACGCUGAUUGCAAUUACAAAAGGUUUAUGGUUUGUCCUAUGGUGGGCGAACCCACCAAGGAAACAAGAAGUACGCAAAAGACACGGGUGAAUAAUUCAGCAAGGCUGUAACCCCGAAGGAUGCCAGCCCGCUUUCAUAUUGUGUAAUGAUCCCUCCGCAGGUUCACCUACGGA
RNAcentral lists this unclassified non-coding RNA (571 nucleotides) under uncultured fungus. RNAcentral's name for it is "sequence contains 18S rRNA gene, ITS1, 5.8S rRNA gene, ITS2 and 28S rRNA gene". The record is from RNAcentral. Lineage: Eukaryota; Fungi.